Molecule: ribosomal RNA, 1070 nt
Filed under: Ophiocordyceps aphrophoridarum
Lineage: Eukaryota; Fungi; Ascomycota; Sordariomycetes; Hypocreales; Ophiocordycipitaceae
Description: SSU rRNA
Rfam family: Eukaryotic small subunit ribosomal RNA
Source: RNAcentral
CCAGGGCAGGUCUAGUAUAAGCAUUAUACAGCGAAACUGCGAAUGGCUCAUUAUAUAAGUUAUCGUUUAUUUGAUAGUGCCUUACUACUUGGAUAACCGUGGUAAUUCUAGAGCUAAUACAUGCUAAAACGCUCGACUUCGGAAGGGUUGUAUUUAUUAGAUUAAAAACCAAUGCCCUCUGGGCUCACUGGUGAUUCAUAAUAACUUCGCGAAUCGCAUGGCCUUGCGCCGGCGAUGGCUCAUUCAAAUUUCUUCCCUAUCAACUUUCGAUGUUUGGGUAGUGGCCAAACAUGGUUGCAACGGGUAACGGAGGGUUAGGGCUCGACCCCGGAGAAGGAGCCUGAGAAACGGCUACUACAUCCAAGGAAGGCAGCAGGCGCGCAAAUUACCCAAUCCCGAUUCGGGGAGGUAGUGACAAUAAAUACUGAUACAGGGCUCUUUUGGGUCUUGUAAUUGGAAUGAGUACAAUUUAAAUCCCUUAACGAGGAACAAUUAGAGGGCAAGUCUGGUGCCAGCAGCCGCGGUAAUUCCAGCUCUAAUAGCGUAUAUUAAAGUUGUUGUGGUUAAAAAGCUCGUAGUUGAACCUUGGGCCUGGCUGGCAGGUCCGCCUCACCGCGUGUACUUUGCCGGCCGGGCCUUUCCCUCUGUGGAACCCCAUGCCCUUCACUGGGUGUGGCGGGGAAACAGGACUUUUACUUUGAAAAAAUUAGAGUGCUCCAGGCAGGCCUAUGCUCGAAUACAUUAGCAUGGAAUAAUAAAAUAGGACGUGUGGUUCUAUUUUGUUGGUUUCUAGGACCGCCGUAAUGAUUAAUAGGGACAGUCGGGGGCAUCAGUAUUCAAUUGUCAGAGGUGAAAUUCUUGGAUUUAUUGAAGACUAACUACUGCGAAAGCAUUUGCCAAGGAUGUUUUCAUUAAUCAGGAACGAAAGUUAGGGGAUCGAAGACGAUCAGAUACCGUCGUAGUCUUAACCAUAAACUAUGCCGACUAGGGAUCGGACGAUGUUAUUACUUGACUCGUUCGGCACCUUACGAGAAAUCAAAGUGCUGGGCUCCAGGGGAGGAAUUGAACCG